GUGGGGAAUAUUGGGCAAUGGGCGAAAGCCUGACCCAGCAACGCCGCGUGAAGGAAGAAGGUCUUCGGAUCGUAAACUUCUAUCCUUGGUGAAGAUAAUGACGGUAGCCGAGAAGGAAGCCCCGGCUAACUACGUGCCAGCAGCCGCGGUAAUACGUAGGGGGCAAGCGUUGUCCGGAAUGAUUGGGCGUAAAGGGCGCGUAGGCGGCCUGGUAAGUCUGGAGUGAGAGUCCUGCUUUUAAGGUGGGAAUUGCUUUGGAUACUGUCGGGCUUGAGUGUAAGAGAGGUAAGUGGAAUUCCCGGUGUAGCGGUGAAAUGCGUAGAGAUCGGGAGGAACACCAGUGGCGAGGGCGACUUACUGGACUGUAACUGACGCUGAGGCGCGAAAGUGUGGGGAGCAAACAGGAUUAGAUACCCCGGUAGUCC
RNAcentral lists this ribosomal RNA (425 nucleotides) under uncultured bacterium. RNAcentral's name for it is "partial 16S ribosomal RNA". It matches the Rfam family "Bacterial small subunit ribosomal RNA", at positions 354 to 796 of the family's 1533-position model. The record is from RNAcentral.